Toxotes jaculatrix (banded archerfish) is the source of this 212-nucleotide long non-coding RNA. RefSeq lists it as uncharacterized. The transcript has 3 exons. NCBI's taxonomy places the organism in Eukaryota, Metazoa, Chordata, Actinopteri, Toxotidae. The record is from RefSeq and is a predicted model, not a curated record.
AUCACUGGUGAAGACAUGACUGAGCUGCUGGUGGAGAUGAGCAAACAGACACUCAGAGAACAGCUCUGGGAAUUUCAACUGGAGGAUUUUCACCAGGUGGAGGCAAGACCUCUUGUUAGACUGGUUAUGGACGUAAACAAUCGCAUGAAGAUGAGGGACGUUGAGUUUGAAGCCAGACAGCUGCUCAACUCCCCAGAGACCAUCCCUCCUAA